GUCCGUAUUAGAUUUGCGACCUGAUGGGGCUUCCAGGCUCUUUUAAGCUCCCCGUGAGGGAGCUGCUUUGUAAGAAGCCAGGGUUUCACCUUCCCCUGCUGAGAGGCCUGCAGCCCGGGUGCAGUGGGAGGACUGUGUGAAGAGCACUCGAUCUGUGGCCAGGCAGUGUGUUUAACUUCUCCCUGGUGAAGAUAUGCCAUCGACUUGAGGGGGGACUGAGCAGAGCGGGGACGUGACAUGCCUUUCUGGGAGGUGUACAUAAAGGUAACUAAAGACUGUCUCAGACACACAAGAGAUGGGAGAAUUGGACACCCGCGGAGCAGCGCUGAAGAGGAGGAGGGUGUUCAUGAAGGCUCAAGGAAAAGACGGCAGUUGGAGACCAACAUGUCCAGAAAGGAACUCGAACAACUGUCGUCUGCAAAUGCGAGUUGCCCAACCAGACCGUCCCCUCAUUUCAAUCUUAUUCAAAUAAAUAGUUAGAUACAGAUAAAAACAGCGGGCUUGGUGGCAAAAGAUGUGUCACAGGGGCGCAGUGACGGGGAGCGGAAAGCGCAGGAGGUUUUGAGCCUCUGACACUGCGUGUGAAAUAGAAUAACGCUAUUUGAAGGUACACUGUGUUGGGAUAAAGGCUAAAGAUGGAGGCAGCAACGCCCAAGGCAAUUAGUGAAAUAAGUGAUUAAGUUAAUUAAUACUUAAAAAUGGUGCCUAGGAAGCCAAAAGUGGAUAUAAAAUGGGAACAUGAGAAUACAUUUAAUUCAAACUAAAAGAGAAAAAAUAGAGUAAGCAGCAGAUGGGACAAAUAAAAGACAGUUUUAGUUAAAAUGGGAUGUCAGAUUUAAAAUAAAACAUUUCAAAAAUAUGUGAAAUAUUAAUGGCCCGAAUGAUAAAAUUAAAGGCUGAGAUUUUGCCAGAUUGGAUGAAGAAAAUAGAACCAACUAGAUGCUGUCUAAUGAAGCCCAUGUGGAAACAGAGACACAAGGGAAUAAGAGUAAGGAGAAAAGCAUGUGAAACUACAAUUGCAAAUAACUUUAAAUGGGCUGUAUUAACAUUAGACUAAGUUGACUUCGAAUAAGUAUUACCAGGGAAAAAGAGGGGCAUUACAUAAUGACUAAGGGGUUAAUUCAUCAGGGGUUAUUGGAGUUCCCUGGUGGCCUAGUGGGUUAAGGCCCUGACAUUGUCCCUGCUCUGGAUCAAUGCUGCUCCAUCCCUGGUCUGGAAAUUCCACUUGUCGUGGGUGUGGCCAAAAAAAUAGAGUUAUAGAAUGACUUCAGUAAUAGAAAAAAGUAUAUGAAAGUGUGAGGGAACACAUGUUGGGGAUGGGAGGCACACAUUGGUAUUUUUAAGAUUUCCAGGUGAUUUCAGUAAAAAAGGGCACUCAAUAAAAAAGGAUACUUGCUUAUCUCUCAAAAUCUUGCACAUGUGGGGUAAGCUACGUACUAGAGCACUGUCAACUUUACAGCCAUGGCACCAACAAUACCAACAGGAACAGCUUAAAAUCACAUCAUAUAGGGUGUUAAGACUCAAGUCAGCUCUUUUCUAUAAAGUAUCACUAACUUCCAUGACAGUGCUUUUUAAUUGAAUGGUGUUUCACCAACAGGAAUCUGUACAUUUUAAAAAUUAACAAAAAGAGACAUCCUGAUUAAGCUAACAUAUUUAAUCAAAGGAUGCUGUUGAAGAUGCAGGUCAAUCUAUAAUGGCAACUGCAGAAGAAUGAUUCUAGGUCUUUGUAGAAGAAAUAGUCAUGCCAUUUUUUUUCCUGAGAAAUUGAUUUAUCUUUUGUCCUACAUCCCAAGAAACUCAGAACCACAUAAAUAAGUGCUCAGGAUCUGAGCAUUUAUUUUGUAGAAAACAUUGUCUCUGCAUCAUCUUGUUUUUCUUCCAUAAUGUUUGCCUUUCACAGUUGCCUCGUCUAUGUUCGUUGUGUUGUGUUACCUUGGUUUGGAGAAUAUGGCAGUGGCUACAUAGGUGAGUAGAUAGAUAUAUAGAUAGAUGAUAGGUGAGUAGAUAGAUGACAGACAUAUAGAAAGAUAGAUAGAUAUAGGUAAUAGAUAGACAGCUCAUAGCUAGAUAGAUAGGUAUGUGUGUAUGUGAGUGAAGAAGAGAGAGAGGGAAGGAGGGUCCCAAAUUUACCCAAAUGGAAACUGUGUCAAGCUUAUUAACUGACAAAUUGUAUUUUUGUGUUAUUAAUCUGAAGCCCACAGUCUGUCUGAUGGUGGUGUUGUCUCUUCUUUUAACGACACCCGAUGAUCUCAUUUAUCUCUGAGAUGGGAGAGAGUCCUGUGAUGGGAAGCUCCUGCCUCUGCCAGGCUGAUGAAGCAGGUUCUCCUGCUUCCUGUGCUGAGAACUGGACCAGACAAAAUGAAUCUGCUUCAGGAGCAGAGACGGAGAAAUCCCACAUUAAUUGGCUUCUCAGUCCUUGUAGUGAGAUGUCCCUGACAUAUAUUGCAAUGAGAUUACUCGUACCUUAGAUUUUUACAGUCUUCACUAAAAUCAGUCUUAAUGAGGAAGCUUUCAUUGUGUAAGCCCAUCCCUUUAUAGGGGUUUUUGAUGUAUAAAAAGGGGAGAGGACGUUUCUGGAAGAAGCCUAUAAAACCAAGAGAGGAACAGCACUCUACGUUAAGAUGAAAUAAAUUGCUGGCAGCUGUUGUCUUGACGAUGACUGAAAAAGGACUUUGUUCAGAGCAAUCCCAGGACAUGUUUUAGAUAAAGAAGAGGAGAGGAGAGGAUGGAUCCAGGAAAGAGACCACAGGGGAAGCAUCUUGAAACCAGGAAGUGAACUGCUGCCCGGGCAGGAAGGGGUGCGGACGCCCUGCAGCUGUGACCCCAGGACAAAGCAGGGCUGUGCU
RNAcentral lists this long non-coding RNA (2846 nucleotides) under Sus scrofa (pig). RNAcentral describes it as "lncRNA (ENSSSCG00060045065.1)". Lineage: Eukaryota; Metazoa; Chordata; Mammalia; Artiodactyla; Suidae. The record is from RNAcentral.